UCGAGCGAAGUUUUUCUGGUGCUUGCACCGGAAAAACUUAGCGGCCAACGGGUGAGUAACACGUAAAGAACCUGCCUCAUAGACUGGGACAACUAUUGGAAACGAUAGCUAAUACCGGAUAACAGCAUUAACUGCAUGGUUGAUGUUUAAAAGUUGGUUUUGCUAACACUAUGAGAUGGCUUUGCGGUGCAUUAGCUAGUUGGUGGGGUAAAGGCCUACCAAGGCGACGAUGCAUAGCCGACCUGAGAGGGUGAUCGGCCACACUGGGACUGAGACACGGCCCAGACUCCUACGGGAGGCAGCAGUAGGGAAUCUUCCGCAAUGGGCGAAAGCCUGACGGAGCAACGCCGCGUGAGUGAAGAAGGAUUUCGGUUCGUAAGGCUCUGUUGUUAGGGAAGAAUGAUUGUGUAGUAACUAUACACAGUAGAGACGGUACCUAACCAGAAAGCCACGGCUAACUACGUGCCAGCAGCCGCGGUAAUACGUAGGUGGCAAGCGUUGUCCGGAAUUAUUGGGCGUAAAGCGCGCGCAGGUGGUUUAAUAAGUCUGAUGUGAAAGCCCACGGCUCAACCGUGGAGGGUCAUUGGAAACUGUUAAACUUGAGUGCAGGAGAGAAAAGUGGAAUUCCUAGUGUAGCGGUGAAAUGCGUAGAGAUUAGGAAGAACACCAGUGGCGAAGGCGAUUCUCUGGACUGUAACUG
Molecule: ribosomal RNA, 700 nt
Filed under: uncultured bacterium
Lineage: Bacteria
Description: bacterial SSU rRNA
Rfam family: Bacterial small subunit ribosomal RNA
Source: RNAcentral